This is a non-coding RNA of Chiloscyllium plagiosum (whitespotted bambooshark), 282 nucleotides long. NCBI's taxonomy places the organism in Eukaryota, Metazoa, Chordata, Chondrichthyes, Orectolobiformes, Hemiscylliidae. The record is from RefSeq and is a predicted model, not a curated record.
CUGAGCAGAGGGUUGGACAGACACUGACACGCAAUCAAAAAAACAACAGCAAGGAGCUGAGAGGAUCAAUCCGGCUCCUCACACCGCUCUGGGAAAUGACAAGAUCGCCCAAUGGAACCAGAGAAUAGCUCAGAGGGACUUUACAAAGACACAGGUUCAACUUCCUUGUAAGCCAUAAAAAUGUGGGCGAUUCUAAAAGGCCUCCAUCCUUGGAAGAUGAAAGACAGCAAACACCAGCAACUGGAAGUAAUCGAAAGGUGGAUUAAUUACCACUUGGAAAAG